ACGGAGGGUGCAAGCGUUAUCCGGAUUCACUGGGUUUAAAGGGUGCGUAGGCGGGCAGGUAAGUCAGUGGUGAAAUCUCCGGGCUUAACCCGGAAACUGCCGUUGAUACUAUCUGUCUUGAAUAUCGUGGAGGUGAGCGGAAUAUGUCAUGUAGCGGUGAAAUGCUUAGAUAUGACAUAGAACACCCAUUGCGAAGGCAGCUCGCUACACGGUUAUUGACGCUGAGGCACGAAAGCGUGGGGAUCAAACAGGA
Molecule: ribosomal RNA, 253 nt
Filed under: uncultured prokaryote
Description: partial 16S ribosomal RNA
Rfam family: Bacterial small subunit ribosomal RNA
Source: RNAcentral